UGGAUGGGUAGGGGAGCGUCGCGUGGCGAGGGAAGCGGCGGAGUGAUCCAGCCGUGGACGCCACGCGAGUGAGAAUGCAGGCAUGAGUAGCGAGAGGGGAGUGAGAACCUCCCCCGCCGGAAGACCAAGGGUUCCUGGGCCAGGCUAAUCCGCCCAGGGUGAGUCGGGACCUAAGGCGAGGCCGACAGGCGUAGUCGAUGGACAACGGGUUGAUAUUCCCGUACCCGCGAAGGAACGCCCAUGCCGAACCCAGCGAUGCUAACCGCCCGAACACCGGCCGUGAUCCUUUCGAGGUAGCGGCCGGGACUAGCGCGGGAUCCGGACUGGUAGUAGGCAAGCGAUGGGGUGACGCAGGAAGGUAGUCCCGCCGGUGAGUGGUAGUACCGGUGCAAGGGUGUGGCCCGCAGACCAGGCAAAUCCGGUCUGCACACAGGGUGAGGCCCGACGCAUAGCCGAUUGAGGCGAAUGGGAUGAUCCUAUGCUGCCGAGAAAAGCCUCUAGCGAGUUCCCAGCGGCCCGUACCCCAAACCAACUCAGGUGGUCAGGUAGAGAAUACCGAGGCGAUCGAGCGAACUGUGGUUAAGGAACUCGGCAAAAUGCCCCCGUAACUUCGGGAGAAGGGGGGCCGCUUUCCGUGAAGGCACUUGCUGCCGGCAGCGGAGGGCGGCCGCAGAGACCAGUGAGAAGCGACUGUUUACUAAAAACACAGGUCCGUGCGAAGUCGUAAGACGAUGUAUACGGACUGACGCCUGCCCGGUGCUGGAACGUUAAGGGGACGGGUUAGGCCCUUCGGGGCCGAAGCUCAGAACUCAAGCGCCAGUAAACGGCGGUGGUAACUAUAACCAUCCUAAGGUAGCGAAAUUCCUUGUCGGGUAAGUUCCGACCUGCACGAAUGGCGUAACGACUUCUCAGCUGUCUCAACCACAGGCUCGGCGAAAUUGCACUACGAGUAAAGAUGCUCGUUACGCGCGGCAGGACGGAAAGACCCCGGGACCUUUACUAUAGCUUGAUAUUGGUGUUCGGUUCGGCUUGUGUAGGAUAGGUGGGAGACUGUGAAGCGGGCACGCCAGUGUCCGUGGAGUCGCCGUUGAAAUACCACUCUGGUCGAAUUGGAUGUCUAACCUCGGUCCGUGAUCCGGAUCAGGGACAGUGUCAGGUGGGUAGUUUAACUGGGGCGGUUGCCUCCCAAAAUGUAACGGAGGCGCCCAAAGGUUCCCUCAGCCUGGUUGGCAACCAGGUGUCGAGUGCAAGUGCACAAGGGAGCUUGACUGUGAGACCGACGGGUCGAGCAGGAGCGAAAGCUGGGACUAGUGACCCGGCACCGGCAGGUGGAAGCGGUGUCGCUCAACGGAUAAAAGGUACCCCGGGGAUAACAGGCUGAUCUUCCCCAAGAGUCCAUAUCGACGGGAUGGUUUGGCACCUCGAUGUCGGCUCGUCGCAUCCUGGGGCUGGAGUAGGUCCCAAGGGUUGGGCUGUUCGCCCAUUAAAGCGGUACGCGAGCUGGGUUUAGAACGUCGUGAGACAGUUCGGUCCCUAUCCGCCGUGCGCGUAAGAGACUUGAGAAGAGCUGUCCCUAGUACGAGAGGACCGGGACGGACGAACCUCUGGUGUGCCAGUUGUACCGCCAGGUGCACGGCUGGUUGGCUACGUUCGGCAGGGAUAACCGCUGAAAGCAUCUAAGCGGGAAGCUCGCUUCAAGAUGAGGUCUCUCACCGGGUCAACCGGGUAAGGCCCCCGCCCAGACCAGCGGGUUGAUAGGCCGGAGGUGGAAGCGCCGCGAGGCGUGGAGCUGACCGGUACUAAUAGGCCGAGGACUUGACCAC
Molecule: ribosomal RNA, 1823 nt
Filed under: Geodermatophilus ruber
Lineage: Bacteria; Bacillati; Actinomycetota; Actinomycetes; Geodermatophilales; Geodermatophilaceae
Description: Geodermatophilus sp. CPCC201356 Bacterial large subunit ribosomal RNA
Rfam family: Bacterial large subunit ribosomal RNA
Source: Rfam by way of RNAcentral